UUGUUUGUCCUCAGUGUUAAAAAGCAUGCAAUUACGCAGGAACUGUAGGAUGACUGGCUAGAACAGGCAGUAUUACUCAGGAAGAUUGCAUGCUGAAUAUGUCAUUAAUAUCUCUUUCUCUUGAAUUGCAUUGUUGUGUUUUAGGAAAAAAACACGAGAACAUUUUUGGGAAAGGAAACAAACCUUUUUUCUCUCCUAUGUUCUUCUAACUGCUUUUAGUAAUAAUGCUAAUGAAAAUUGUUUGUUGUACUUUUCAUUAAUUUUUCAAGUAUGAGCAAGAGCUUAAGUAAUGUUUUGGCAUUUUUACAGCUUUAAUCCACAUAAGACUUCUCGUGAAAUUCACAAAAGCCAGCUGGAAAAGAAGGCAAGUCUCGGCCCACGCCUCUGAUAAAUCCCCUUGCCUCUGUAAGAGUACAGCUCACACCCUUCUCCACCCUCAACAGCGGCCCUCUCUUUCACUAGCACGGGAUCUGGCCUCAUGUCGCCAGGCUGUUACCCCCGGUCCGAGCAGGGCCACAACCCCUUGCGUCACCGCAGACACACAAUGGGCUGCAGGGUGUGGUCUGCGUUUCGGGGUGUCUUUCUAGACGGCGUGUUUUUACUUGCACGGUUGCGCCAGGUGAGCCGAGGAGCCAACUCGGCAAUGUGCUCACGUUUUGGUGUUUUGAAAUUUAAAAAAUAUACAUAUAGUCUGAGGGUGUUCAGAGGAACAAAAUUGGACAAUACAGAGACAUACUUCUCUAAUUUACUCAACAGUGAAAAGAAAGUUAGAAAAUAAUUUCCAUGUCCGGAAAUCUCUUUCGCUGUCACCUUGAGGCCUCUUGGGGGGGAUGAGAGUGUGCUGCAGGAGGCCUCUCGCAGGCCAGAGUGAUUUUUCCCUGCACACAAUGAGAGCUUUCCCCCACACGCGUUUCGUGACUGCAAGAGCCUGGCGAGGGUCGCGCUGUGCAGGGAGCCAGCACUCAACAUUGUGGAGAAGAAGGUGAACUAUGGAAAACAUUAGCCUUGUGAUUCUCUCUCUUUCGAGCUGGGUAUUUCUCUAAGGUUGCCUUAGAAACGCCUUCUGCUGCUGAAAUCUGUGCUGGGCCUCCACAGUUUCCUGUCCUUCCAUACUAGAGACAGCCUGCCGAAGAUGCUCAUUUUUAAACCAUUCACAUGGUCUGACUGGACAGUCAGAGGGUCAUUACUAGGAA
Lepisosteus oculatus (spotted gar) is the source of this 1193-nucleotide long non-coding RNA. RefSeq lists it as uncharacterized. The record is from RefSeq and is a predicted model, not a curated record. NCBI's taxonomy places the organism in Eukaryota, Metazoa, Chordata, Actinopteri, Semionotiformes, Lepisosteidae.